AUGAAUUUUUUUUUUUUUUUCAAAAUCUAAAUAUCUGAACCCGAUCCGAAAUAACCGAACCCGAACUAAAAAUACCCGAACCCAACCCAAAGUACAGAAAUACCCAAACGGAUUCUAUACCUCUAUACCCGAAAAUCUGAACGGGUACCCGAAUUCCCAUCCCUGCUUAUGAAUGUGAGUUCGUCAACAAGUAAAAUGUAGAGGUCAAUUUCGUUAAAAACUAAAAUGUAGAGGUUUACUUUGGAAAUAUUUCUAAAUUCCCACGGUUGAAUGAGAAUCUGAUACAAGAAGAGAAGAAGAAGUGUUUCUCAUGAAAGCCCAGAAACGCCCGAGGUUCGAAUCGGACUCGUCGUUGAUCACAGUCUGGUAGAUCAAACAAUCUCUCUCUCUACCCAAGGUACUACGUUUCAGUUGAUUUAGAUUAAGUUUGCUGAGUUGCAUUAUGAUUUUGAUGAUGAUUAAUGAGUUUCGAUCUAUCCUUCUAGGUUCUGCACAUGUUAGAUGAAAAUAUUAUCUUAAGGCCUCUUAUGUGAACUGAAUAAUGCGUUGCUUUGCUUUUGUUUCGGAAUCCACUCGUUGGAGCUGCCUCUCGGUUCGUGUUCGUCCGUGGUGGGUUUAGGUGCCUACGGUGAGAACAUUUUGGGAUCUAGCAUAGAGGUAUGCUCCCCUCCAGUUUAUUGUAAGAAAGAUUCAGCGUAUGCAGAGAAGAUAUCGCUGCCAAGCUCUGAGGAAUGGCACCAGAAAACCUGUUUCUUGAUAGAUCAAGCGUCUCCAGGUGACCAAGUUUUGAAAUAUUCCCGGGAAUGCUUCCUGCGACGGAGUUUCUUGAUAAAUUCAGGAUUCGAAGGUAAGUGAGGUCCAAGAUCUCCACUGGGAUUUCUCCGUGUAUGCUGUUUCCGGAAAGAUUUAUGCUAUCGCGUAUCUCUUGGUAUUCAUAGUACUCGUCGACGCUUUUACCUUGCACAAUGGCUGUGAGAUUGCAGAUGCAUUUUGGAACCGAGCCAGAUAAUUUGUUUUCUGAGAGAUCCAGAAUGUGUAGACUCGGGGCGCUGCAGAGAUCAUCUGGGAUUUGACCAUCAAAGGAGUUACUUUGCAAACGAAGCAUGGACAGAGAAGACAGCUUACUUAGCCACCACGGAAGUUUCCCAGUCAGCUUGUUUCCUCCGAGAUGACUGUGUGUAAUGCCAGAGCAGUUCUGGAAAGUGUCUGGGAUUUUACCUUCCAAUGCAUUCUGGUUCAGAAGCAAGACGCUGAGACGAGGUAACACACAGAGAGACUCCGGUAUUUGGCCUGAUAUGCUGUUCUCAGAUGCGUCGAUUUCCUAAAGCUCGGAUGAAGGACGCCAGCAUUUUGGGAAACUACCGGAGAAACGGUUGUUUCUUAGAUUGAGGGUUUCCAGUCCGGUGAGUUCACAUAGAGACGAUGGGAUUUCUCCGGUGAAGCUGUUAUGAAAGAGUUUUAUGUUUUUCAAUCGUGGCAUCAUGACAUGGAUGUCAGGUGGAAGAGAACCCGAGAAGUUGUUCUGGUAAAGAUGAAGCUCUGUUGCGUAUGUUGUCCAGCGAGGGAAAGGGCCUUGGAAGUUGUUGGAGCUCAAAUCAAAGGCUGCUAAAUUCGGGAACACGAGAUUUUGAGGUAAUGUACCUUUGAUUCUGUUGUUUUCUAGAUACAGUUCAGUUACAGCAGAAGCUAUUCUGGAGAACCAGCUGUGGGGUAUUUUAUCCGCAAUCCCACUGUUCGAGUGUGACGGAGUUGAGUUUGUUUUGUACUUGAAGCCACAUUGGAAACUAUAUAUAUAAAAAUCGUAACUAUAUAUAUAAAAAUUAGUAAAAUAUUGUUUUAUUCUCAUA
Molecule: long non-coding RNA, 1847 nt
Organism: Brassica napus (rape)
Lineage: Eukaryota; Viridiplantae; Streptophyta; Magnoliopsida; Brassicales; Brassicaceae
Exons: 2
Source: RefSeq, a predicted model, not a curated record